CAUUAAAUGGCUGAAAGCAAGCAUAGGUCUCUUAAACCUCUAAAUAGUAAAUUAGCACUUACUUUUAAUGA
RNAcentral lists this transfer RNA (71 nucleotides) under Kyklioacalles aubei. RNAcentral's name for it is "tRNA-Lys". The record is from RNAcentral. Lineage: Eukaryota; Metazoa; Arthropoda; Insecta; Coleoptera; Curculionidae.